Molecule: non-coding RNA, 496 nt
Organism: Sinocyclocheilus rhinocerous
Lineage: Eukaryota; Metazoa; Chordata; Actinopteri; Cypriniformes; Cyprinidae
Source: the annotation of a RefSeq genome assembly
CAGUUGUAACAUUAGUUCAUGUGACUGGAUCUGAUGUCAAAUUCAGGUAUAAUGUGGCUCAGAGAGGAGUGACUCAGUGUUCAUAUGAUCUUAGUGUCUGACAGAGACUGCGGUUAAAAGGAUUCAGAGGGUUCUUCUCAGAGUGAACACUUGUACAAUGAAUCUUCAUUCAGUUAUUCUGUUCUGUGCCUCAGCUGUUGCUGUCUUUGGGAAUGUCAUUAAACCAAACAAAACAGAUGUUUUUGCUGAGGAAGGUUCAAGUGUUACAUUAUCCUGUAGUUUUUCUGUAUCUGGAGGUUCAGAUUAUCUCCACUGGUACCGUCAGUAUGGAAGAUCAAAACCUGAAUUUCUUCUUCUCACUUACAGCAAUGCAAAAGAAGCUGAGGUGUCUAAGAUAGAUCCAAGAUUCUCUGUUUACAUUCCAAAAAGAGAACACGUGGAUCUGGAGAUCUCCUCUGCUGCUGUAUCAGACUCUGCUCUGUACUACUGUGCUCUG